ACAAGCAGGGAUGGCGUCGCUUCAGCGUUCUCGGGUGCUACGCUGCUGCAGCUGCCGCCUCUUCCAGGCGCACCAGGUAAAAAAGAGUGUCAAGUGGACAUGCAAAGCUUGUGGAGAGAAGCAGUCCUUUUUGCGGAGUUCCCCAGAUAUGGAGCUCCUGCUUCCGAGCUUCCUGUUCCUUCAGGAAGUGAAAUGGAUGGAGCAGAAUCUGGAAAGACUGUUCAGUCAGAUUCUCUGCUCCAAGUCCAUAGAAUCUCAUUCCAAGCCAACUGGAAGAGCUGAGUCUCAAUUAUAAAUUCCUAGGAGAAGCAACCUGGUUGGCCCAGGCUGACUCGGAUGUCCACCUCUGGUCCAGUCAACUGGGAUUGGGUCUCAGAAGAGAGGGCUGGCUUACCAGGUAGGCAGACACCCCACGUGGUGAGCAUGGCUUGUUUGAGAUGUAUAUAUUUCUACAUUCUCCUUGAGGAAGCCUUCUUACUGCCCUCAAUGCCUCUGUGCUGUGUGUGGCAUGUGGUGUAUGGCUGACUGGGCCACAGUAACAAACACA
Molecule: small RNA, 547 nt
Filed under: Pan troglodytes (chimpanzee)
Lineage: Eukaryota; Metazoa; Chordata; Mammalia; Primates; Hominidae
Description: processed transcript
Source: RNAcentral